RNAcentral lists this ribosomal RNA (563 nucleotides) under Marinobacter sp. CY-C3-2. Its description in RNAcentral is "bacterial SSU rRNA". It matches the Rfam family "Bacterial small subunit ribosomal RNA", at positions 72 to 629 of the family's 1533-position model. The record is from RNAcentral. Lineage: Bacteria; Pseudomonadati; Pseudomonadota; Gammaproteobacteria; Pseudomonadales; Marinobacteraceae.
AUGGUAGCUUGCUACCAGGCGUCGAGCGGCGGACGGGUGAGUAAUGCUUAGGAAUCUGCCCAGUAGUGGGGGAUAGCCCGGGGAAACUCGGAUUANUACCGCAUACGCCCUUUUGGGGAAAGCAGGGGAUCUUCGGACCUUGCGCUAUUGGAUGAGCCUAAGUCGGAUUAGCUUGUUGGUGAGGUAAAGGCUCACCAAGGCAACGAUCCGUAGCUGGUCUGAGAGGAUGAUCANCCACAUCGGGACUGAGACACGGCCCGAACUCCUACGGGAGGCANCAGUGGGGAAUAUUGGACAAUGGGGGCAACCCUGAUCCANCCAUGCCGCGUGUGUGAAGAAGGNUUUCGGGUUGUAAAGCACUUUCAGUGAGGAGGAAGGCUUUCAGAAUAAUACUCUGGAGGAUUGACGUCACUCACAGAAGAAGCACCGGCUAACUCCGUGCCAGCAGCCGCGGUAAUACGGAGGGUGCAAGCGUUAAUCGGAAUUACUGGGCGUAAAGCGCGCGUAGGUGGUUGAGUAAGCGAGAUGUGAAAGCCCCGGGCUUAACCUGGGAACGGCACUUC